Molecule: long non-coding RNA, 632 nt
Organism: Bos taurus (domestic cattle)
Lineage: Eukaryota; Metazoa; Chordata; Mammalia; Artiodactyla; Bovidae
Source: Ensembl
AGGACCAGGAGCUGCUGUCCUUGCAUGACUCCACCCCUUCCCCCAUUAUCCUCUAUGCACAACUUAAGGUAUAAAAACUACUUUGGAAAAUAAAGUGCGGGCCUUGUUCACCAAAACUUGGUCUCCCCAUGUCGCUCAGUCUUCCAAAUUCUGGCUGAGUCUCCAUCUGGAGCGCAGAACCCGCCAUGCUUGCUAAUUAUGCCUGGGCUUCUAAGAUCUGACCAGGGAGGCCUCAGUGUCUCCUUUCCUUCGGGAGAACGGAAGGACGCCUGCGGCCUACGGUCUGCAUGAUAUUUUCCUUGCCUGCGCUUCUUCCAUUUCAUGACUGUGUCUCAUCGCCUCAGUCGACACACUCCUCUCGUAUCUACAGAACUCCCGGCAAUCCCUUCAGUUCAUGAAGUUGUUCUGCAGCUUUGUAUACCCAUUUGUGUCUAGAACCCCCUUGCUUGUCUGGUGAGCUCCUAUGUAAACAUGACAUCUCAGUUUGAAUAUCUCUUCCAUAGACCAGCUGAUGCCUCGCACCCCAUGCUUCUUGUGGAACACGACAGCAACAUGGCUCUGCCCCUAAGUGGGCAGGUCGGAUUCUGGAAAUGAUCCUGAUGAAUAUUCAUGAAGGAGCUGUGGCAUCAGAA